RNAcentral lists this ribosomal RNA (445 nucleotides) under uncultured bacterium. Its description in RNAcentral is "SSU rRNA". It matches the Rfam family "Bacterial small subunit ribosomal RNA", at positions 26 to 518 of the family's 1533-position model. The record is from RNAcentral.
AGAGCGAACGCUGGCGGCAGGCCUAAAACAUGCAAGUCGAACGGACCCUUCGGGGUUAGUGGCGGACGGGUGAGUAACACGUGGGAACGUACCCUUUGGUUCGGAACAACUCAGGGAAACUUGAGCUAAUACCGAAUGUGCCCUUCGGGGGAAAGAUUUAUCGCCAUUGGAGCGGCCCGCGUCUGAUUAGCUAGUUGGUAGGGUAAAGGCCUACCAAGGCUACGAUCAGUAGCUGGUCUGAGAGGAUGAUCAGCCACACUGGGACUGAGACACGGCCCAGACUCCUACGGGAGGCAGCAGUAGGGAAUCUUGCGCAAUGGGCGAAAGCCUGACGCAGCCAUGCCGCGUGAAUGAUGAAGGUCUUAGGAUUGUAAAAUUCUUUCAGCGGGACGAUAAUGACGGUACCCGCAGAAGAAGCCCCGGCUAACUUCGCGCCAGCAGCCGC